RNAcentral lists this ribosomal RNA (497 nucleotides) under uncultured bacterium. Its description in RNAcentral is "partial 16S ribosomal RNA". It matches the Rfam family "Bacterial small subunit ribosomal RNA", at positions 28 to 507 of the family's 1533-position model. The record is from RNAcentral.
GAUGAACGCUGGCGGCGUGCCUAAUACAUGCAAGUCGAGCGAACGGACGAGAAGCUUGCUUCUCUGAUGUUAGCGGCGGACGGGUGAGUAACACGUGGAUAACCUACCUAUAAGACUGGGAUAACUUCGGGAAACCGGAGCUAAUACCGGAUAAUAUUUUGAACCGCAUGGUUCAAAAGUGAAAGACGGUCUUGCUGUCACUUAUAGAUGGAUCCGCGCUGCAUUAGCUAGUUGGUAAGGUAACGGCUUACCAAGGCAACGAUGCAUAGCCGACCUGAGAGAGGGAUCGGCCACACUGGAACUGAGACACGGUCCAGACUCCUACGGGAGGCAGCAGUAGGGAAUCUUCCGCAAUGGGCGAAAGCCUGACGGAGCAACGCCGCGUGAGUGAUGAAGGUCUUCGGAUCGUAAAACUCUGUUAUUAGGGAAGAACAUAUGUGUAAGUAACUGUGCACAUCUUGACGGUACCUAAUCAGAAAGCCACGGCUAACUACGUG